AGUGAACGCUGGCGGCAGGCCUAAUACAUGCAAGUCGAACGGCAGCACAGCAGAGCUUGCUCUGUGGGUGGCGAGUGGCGGACGGGUGAGGAAUACAUGGGAAUCUGCCCAGUCGUGGGGGAUAACGUAUGGAAACGUACGCUAAUACCGCAUGCGCCCUACGGGGGAAAGUCGGGGACCGCAAGGCCUGACGCGAUUGGAUGAGCCCAUGUUCGAUUAGCUAGUUGGCGGGGUAAAGGCCCA
This 243-nucleotide ribosomal RNA is filed under the name uncultured bacterium. RNAcentral's name for it is "partial 16S ribosomal RNA". It matches the Rfam family "Bacterial small subunit ribosomal RNA", at positions 29 to 267 of the family's 1533-position model. The record is from RNAcentral.